Molecule: ribosomal RNA, 200 nt
Filed under: uncultured bacterium
Lineage: Bacteria
Description: partial 16S ribosomal RNA
Rfam family: Bacterial small subunit ribosomal RNA
Source: RNAcentral
UACGUAGGGUGCAAGCGUUGUCCGGAAUUAUUGGGCGUAAAGAGCUCGUAGGCGGUCAGUCGCGUCUGCUGUGAAAACUCCGGGGCUUAACUCCGGGCCUGCAGUGGUACGGGCUGACUAGAGUGCGGUAGGGGAGGACUGGGAAUUCCUGGUGUAGCGGUGAAAUGACGCAGAUAAUCAGGAGGAACACCGGUGGCGAA